Culex quinquefasciatus (southern house mosquito) is the source of this 475-nucleotide long non-coding RNA. RefSeq lists it as uncharacterized. The transcript has 2 exons. NCBI's taxonomy places the organism in Eukaryota, Metazoa, Arthropoda, Insecta, Diptera, Culicidae. The record is from RefSeq and is a predicted model, not a curated record.
AAAUCGAUUGAGUCCUGCCAUUUUCGAGCGUUUGUCGAGCGUUUUGAUCGAAUGUCAAAGGCGACAUUUGCAGUUCUUGUUUAUAAUAGUAGGCGUCGUAAUUUGAUGACAGUUCAAUUUGUUCAAGCCCAUUUUUUCACUUGUGAAAAUUCAUAUUUUUUUAGUAAAAUUAGUGAAAUUUCUGCUGAUUAGUGGGUGGCUACAGUGUGAUUAAACAUUUUUUAAAGGGCAAUGAAGUUUUGCCAGCAGAAGGAAUUCACGGUGCUUGGAAAAUAUGGUCAAGAUGUGUGAUUUGACGCAGAACCGCACAACCCAAGUGGCCAUCAACGAGAAACAAAGAACCAUCAGCCGGUACACUGGGCUUUGAUUUCUAUUUCACGUUUUCCACCAAGAAACCAGUGUCGAUUCAAGUGUCUUGUUAUUAUAAAUAAUCAGAGAGAGUUCAAUAAAAAUAAAACGCUUUUAAAUAAAUAAA